AACUGAUACUACCUGCGGGAACCUGCGGAGGGAUCAUUAGUGAACGCCCUCACGGGCUUAUAACUAUUCCAAACCUCUGUGAACCGUGCCCUUCGGGGCUAUUUUACAAACAUGGUGUAAUGAACGUCAUAUAUCAUAACAAAACAAAACUUUUAGCAAUGGAUCUCU
RNAcentral lists this unclassified non-coding RNA (168 nucleotides) under soil metagenome. RNAcentral describes it as "partial contains 5.8S ribosomal RNA, internal transcribed spacer 2, and large subunit ribosomal RNA". The record is from RNAcentral.